AGGCUCAGUGCUUUAAGGGGUAGUCCCAAGUCCUCUGCUGAAGCAGUUGGUGCAGGUCUUGAUGAAGAUCACGGAUGUCAUUUUCAAUCAGAUGAGAAUCUAGCCUGAGAAGUUCCCAGCUAUAAGGGAGAACUAAGCAAGUCUUCAAAUUUUAGUUAGGAAAUAAACACGAGGUGGAUGGAUGCUCGCUCUACGGAAAGCUGAGGGACUCCCUCCCCACUCUGCAACUGCCGGAUGUUUUGAAAUGGAAGAUUUUACUCCAAGUAAAGCCCAAUGAGUUCCUCUCUCUCCCAUGGCAAGGGAAACCACAGGGGCUUUUACCACCACCAGAUCCUUUCAAGCUGAACCAGCUGCAGGACACUGAAGGGCACUGAAAGGAACGAGUCAAGCACCUCUCUAGCUACCGGACUGCAUCAAGAAGGCACAACAUAAGCAAUGGUAAAGUCAGUAAACAAAAUUUUACUGUAAUAUUUGUAACACAGAUACUGUAUUUCUCUUUGAAGUGUAAAGCUACCGUCUUACACAAGAAAGAUGGACAGACCCUUUUCCAAGACUAAUAUGGAUACAAUAAAUAUGGAGUUUUACAUACUAGAUCUGUACACAGAAACUUUGUCCCACAGCCAUAAAAAUUUACAUUUAACAGUGCAACAUAUAAUUUAAUCCUUUAUUUAUCUGACAUAGGAUGUUUACUUACUAAACACAAGCAACUACCUGUUUUAAUAUACAUAUUUUAUAUAUAUAUAUUUUAUAUAUAUAUAUUCAACAAUCUGUACAGGUUUCUAAACAUAAAACUCCAAAAAGGCACAAUCGUCUAUACAACAUGUACAAAAAUGGCUGGAGCUGACAAGAAACAACAAUUAUUGGUCAAGAGUUCAUGAUUGCACGAAGAUUAGUAAUGGG
Passer domesticus (house sparrow) is the source of this 900-nucleotide long non-coding RNA. RefSeq lists it as uncharacterized. The transcript has 2 exons. NCBI's taxonomy places the organism in Eukaryota, Metazoa, Chordata, Aves, Passeriformes, Passeridae. The record is from RefSeq and is a predicted model, not a curated record.